RNAcentral lists this unclassified non-coding RNA (1750 nucleotides) under Homarus americanus (American lobster). RNAcentral describes it as "uncharacterized LOC121878667, transcript variant X1". Lineage: Eukaryota; Metazoa; Arthropoda; Malacostraca; Decapoda; Nephropidae. The record is from RNAcentral.
CAGGUACUUUAACGGGCAAUGUUCGGUGGAUUUGGCAUCCUGUGUACCGGCGGUACACAGGAUGCCACUUCCUGCAGUCACCAUUGUUCCCUUCAGUGUUGCUCAUAAUAUUAAGUUAGUUCCUCCAUUCCAAGAAAAGGCUGUAGAUAAAUAUUGUAGAUAUUUUGAGAAGGUGGCCAUGAGUUUGUGAAGGCCAAAGGAACAGUGGGCAAUACUCCUCCAGUCUGUGUUCGUAGGAAAAGCUAUUUGUCUACUGUAUGUCAGUAGAUGACUGUAGUGACCAUGAGAAGGUGAAGUGUACUGUGCUGAAAGCGUAUGAGUUUGUGCCUGGAGCUUUUAGGCUUAAAUUUCGUAAUUCACGCAAGCAUGACAGACAGAGUUACUUAGAAUUUGCAAGGGAGAAGGCUGAUAUAUUUUCUCGUUGGUGUGAAAGCGAGAAAGUAUGUAACUAUUAUGAGAAACUGUGUCAACUGUUACUGGUAGAAGAGUUUAAGAGGUGUAUACCUGAUUGAGUUAAAGUGUAUCUUCAGGAAAACAGAGUGAAUACACUAGAGGAAGCAGCCCGUAUGGCAGAGGAUUAUUCUCUCCUACACAAACUUCCUGGUAACUUUGUAAAGAGUAACGCCUCGCCACAAUCCUCUCCGCCAACAGGAGAUAAGGUGUUCUACAACCAUUGUUUUGAGCCUCCAAGAACUAAGAGACAGCAGUGAGCAGAUCGAGGCAGCUGAACCAGGUGUGUUUCCUGCCUGUGCUGUUACCAGAGCAGUGAGGAAGAAGGCAGAGUGUGUCUGUCAUGAGGACCCGAAGCCUGUUACGGACAUGGCAGCCCCAGUGAGUCAAGAACAAUCUAAAAAUCUUCAGGCAGGAGGUAUUAAAAAGUUUGAUAUAGAAUAUGCUCGUGGACCCGACCGGUACUCGACCAUUGACCCGUGUUUGGCCGCUGAACGACCACCGCUCCACCUCCAUUACUCGAUCUCCCGACUGGAUGUUCCGGACCUCGAGUCGUGGAUCAUGGAUACAUUGGAUGGCCCACAGCUCGGGCUCAUGGUUAGGCUCUCCGGAGCUCUGUAUCCGUGUUGCUCAGAUGUCAAACGGAGUUGUAAUGAAGCGGUGCACCAGGGCAGAGCGCUCCAGGACGGACAAGGGUGUGGAGGUCGGUGGAGCCGGUUGUGGUUGUGUUACUCUGGCUUAGAAUGUAAUGUAAGUUUAUAAUACAGUAGAACGUCGAUAUAACGUGAGAUACGUUCCAAGAGAGGUCGCUUUAAACCAAAUUCGCACUAAAUCGAAGUGUUGUUUCAAUGGAGUAAUUUAGUUUGGUACUUGAGAGAAACACAAAAUACUAAAAAGACUUGACAGUCUACCCAGAUGCACCUCAGCCCAUCUCCUAGAACGGGGGUUCCCAAACCUGGGAUCGGAAGGCUCAUUAGGUAGGGUUGCAAAGAGGUCAUGGGGCCGGUGGGGUCCUUUGGGUCUGCCAGUGAAAUGAUUUGGGAUCGCACUGGAUAGUUGACAACACUGGAUGGAGUCGUGCUAGAAAAAGCUUGGGAACCCCUGUCCUAGAAUAAACAAAACAUUGUUUUUGUAGUAUUAUGUUGAAACAAACUUUCAUAAAUCAACACAGCUAAAAUAAAGGGAUGGGAAAUGGUCUGUUACUGGUUGGUAAGAUGGAGGGGGGAGGUGGUGGUGAUAUGUUUGACAGAUGAUGCCAAGGUCUAGUGCUUAUUUAUUUAUCUGUCCUAAGAGCAACUUU